AUUGAACGCUGGCGGCAGGCCUAACACAUGCAAGUCGAACGGUAACAGGAAGCAGCUUGCUGCUUUGCUGACGAGUGGCGGACGGGUGAGUAAUGUCUGGGAAACUGCCUGAUGGAGGGGGAUAACUACUGGAAACGGUAGCUAAUACCGCAUAACGUCGCAAGACCAAAGAGGGGGCCCUUCGGGCCUCUUGCCAUCGGAUGUGCCCAGAUGGGAUUAGCUAGUAGGUGGGGUAACGGCUCACCUAGGCGACGAUCCCUAGCUGGUCUGAGAGGAUGACCAGCCACACUGGAACUGAGACACGGUCCAGACUCCUACGGGAGGCAGCAGUGGGGAAUAUUGCACAAUGGGCGCAAGCCUGAUGCAGCCAUGCCGCGUGUAUGAAGAAGGCCUUCGGGUUGUAAAGUACUUUCAGCGGGGAGGAAGGGAGUAAAGUUAAUACCUUUGCUCAUUGACGUUACCCGCAGAAGAAGCACCGGCUAACUCCGUG
This 490-nucleotide ribosomal RNA is filed under the name uncultured bacterium. RNAcentral's name for it is "partial 16S ribosomal RNA". It matches the Rfam family "Bacterial small subunit ribosomal RNA", at positions 30 to 507 of the family's 1533-position model. The record is from RNAcentral.